This 911-nucleotide ribosomal RNA is filed under the name uncultured archaeon. RNAcentral describes it as "bacterial SSU rRNA". It matches the Rfam family "Archaeal small subunit ribosomal RNA", at positions 1 to 922 of the family's 1478-position model. The record is from RNAcentral.
CCCGGUUGAUCCUGCCGGAGGCGACCGCUAUUGGAGUUCGAUUAAGCCAUGCGAGUCUAGAGGCUUAGGCCUCGGCGUACCGCUCAGUAACACGUGGAUAACCUGCCCUGUUCAGGGGGAUAACCUCGCGAAAGUGAGAAUAAUACCCCAUAGUUCACCAUGCCUGGAACGGUUGGUGGAUGAAAGCUCUGGCGGAACAGGAUGGGUCUGCGGCGUAUCAGGUAGUAGGGGGUGUAAUGGACCUCCUAGCCCUCGACGCGUACGGGUUGUGGGAGCAAUCGCCCGGAGAUGGAUUCUGAGACACGAAUCCAGACCCUACGGGGUGCAGCAGGCGCGAAAACUUGACAAUGCGAGAAAUCGUGAUCAGGGAACUCCAAUUGUCCCCGUUUUUACGGGGUUCUGAAUUGACUCUAAACAGGUCGAGUAAUAGGGGCGGGAAAUAUCGGUGCCAGCCGCCGCGGUAAUACCGAAGCCCCAAGUGGUCGUCGUUCUUAUUGGGCCUAAAACGUCCGUAGCCGGUUUGGUACAUUCGUGGGUAAAUCAGACAGCUUAACUGUCUGAAUUCUGCGAGCACGGCCAAACUUGAGACCGGGAGAGGUGUAGGGUACCUGCGGGGUAGGGGUAAAAUCCUGUCAUCCCGUAGGGACCACCAGUUGCGAAGGCUCUACACUAGAACGGAUCUGACGGUCAGGGACGAAGCCUAGGGGCACGAACCGGAUUAGAUACCCGGGUAGUCCUAGGUGUAAACGCUGUGGACUUUGUGUCGGGAAUUCUUCGAGGAUUCUCGGUGCCGGAGUGAAGAUGUUAAGUCCACUGCCUGGGGAGUACGGUCGCAAGGCUGAAACUUAAAGGAAUUGGCGGGGGAGCACUGCAACGAGAGGAGCGUGCGGUUUAAUUGGAUCAACGCCGGG